UUCCUUUUUAAGAGCUCGUCCACAAUAACAAUAUCUAUAUCUAUAUCUAUACCUAUACAUUAUUUCCCAUAAAGUCUUGUCACGUGGCGAUCCUUCCUUUAUCCUUACCUUCUCUUCUCUUCUCUAAUCAGAACCCGCAUUCUUCAUCUCCCCACCAAGGAAUUACUAACGCAUCAUUAAUUUUAAUAAUUAUGAUCUUAAACCCACACUCUUCAUCUCCCCACCAAGAAGUUACUAACGCAUCAUUAAUUUUAAUAAUUACGAUGAUUCACACAAUUAGCACUACUAAAACCCCAUCAUCAUCAUCUCCUUAUUCUCCGAAACCAAAUACCACACUCCAACAAUGUCCUAUGUUACAAACCAACUCUUCUUUCUAUUAUUCUUAUUAUUAUUCUCGAACGCGAGUACGAACCCGUCAACGCCAUUCGGGUCGAGCCAUGAUUGUUCGGGCGCGUUGUUUGGGUUCAGCGAAUGCUUAGAGUUUGUGGAGAGCGGGGCGAACGGGGCCGUAUCGGGGU
This 518-nucleotide long non-coding RNA is filed under the name Ananas comosus (pineapple). RNAcentral's name for it is "long non-coding RNA (ACOM_LNC004524)". Lineage: Eukaryota; Viridiplantae; Streptophyta; Magnoliopsida; Poales; Bromeliaceae. The record is from RNAcentral.